Molecule: small nuclear RNA, 100 nt
Organism: Camelus dromedarius (Arabian camel)
Lineage: Eukaryota; Metazoa; Chordata; Mammalia; Artiodactyla; Camelidae
Source: Ensembl
UACAGAACCAAACUGGUAAACCGGUAAACUUGUACCUUUCAGAGAAGCAGGGCCCCUGCAUAAGGAAGACAUGCAAAUUCAUGACGCAUUCGAUGUUUUU